RNAcentral lists this ribosomal RNA (468 nucleotides) under uncultured bacterium. RNAcentral's name for it is "partial 16S ribosomal RNA". It matches the Rfam family "Bacterial small subunit ribosomal RNA", at positions 28 to 507 of the family's 1533-position model. The record is from RNAcentral.
GACGAACGCUGGCGGCGUGCUUAACACAUGCAAGUCGAACGGAAAGGCACUGCUUUUGUGGGGUGCUCGAGGGGCGAACGGGUGAGUAACACGUGAGUAACCUGCCCUUGACUUUGGGAUAACUUCAGGAAACUGGGGCUAAUACCGGAUAGGAGCUCCUGCUGCAUGGUGGGGGUUGGAAAGUUUCGGCGGUUGGGGAUGGACUCGCGGCUUAUCAGCUUGUUGGUGGGGUAGUGGCUUACCAAGGCUUGGACGGGUAGCCGGCCUGAGAGGGUGACCGGCCACAUUGGGACUGAGAUACGGCCCAGACUCGUACGGGAGGCAGCAGUGGGGAAUAUUGCACAGUGGGCGGAAGCCUGAUGCAGAAACGCCGCGGGCGGGAUGACGGCCUUCGGGUUGUAAACCGCUGUCGCCUGUGACGAAGCGUGAGUGACGGUAAUGGGUAAAGAAGCACCGGCUAACUACGUG